GAUGAAGACGUAGUGAAAUGCGAUAAGUAGUGUGAAUUGCAGAAUUCAGUGAAUCAUCGAAUCUUUAAACGCACAUUGCGCCCCUUGGUAUUCCAUGGGGCAUGCCUGUUCGAGCGUCAUCUACAACCCUCAAGCCCUGCUUGGUGUUGGGCGUCUGUCCCGCCCCCGCGCGCGGACUCGCCCCAAAUCCAUUGGCGGCGGCCCUUGCCUCCCUCUCGCGCAGCACAUUGCGCUUCUCGAGGCGUCGCGGGCCGCGCUCCACGAAGCACGCAAACCAGUCUUUGACCUCGGAUCAGGUAGGGAUACCCGCUGAACUUAAGCAUAUCAAUAGGCGGAGGA
Molecule: unclassified non-coding RNA, 339 nt
Filed under: soil metagenome
Description: partial contains 5.8S ribosomal RNA, internal transcribed spacer 2, and large subunit ribosomal RNA
Rfam family: 5.8S ribosomal RNA (bases 1-119)
Source: RNAcentral